CGUUGUCCGGAAUUAUUGGGCGUAAAGAGCUCGUAGGCGGCUUGUCGCGUCGGAUGUGAAAGCCCCGGGGCUUAACCCCCCGGGUCUGCAUUCGAUACGGGCAGGCUAGAGUUCGGUAGGGGAGAUCGGAAUUCCUGGUGUAGCGGUGAAAUGCGCAGAUAUCAGGAGGAACACCGGUGGCGAAGGCGGAUCUCUGGGCCGAUACUGACGCUGAGGAGCGAAAGCGUGGGGAGCGAACAGGAUUAGAUACCCUGGUAGUCCACGCCGUAAACGUUGGGCACUAGGUGUGGGCGACAUUCCACGUCGUCCGUGCCGCAGCUAACGCAUUAAGUGCCCCGCCUGGGGAGUACGGCCGCAAGGCUAAAACUCAAAGGAAUUGACGGGGGCCCGCACAAGCAGCGGAGCAUGUGGCUUAAUUCGACGCAACGCGAAGAACCUUACCAAGGCUUGACAUACACCGGAAACGGCCAGAGAUGGUCGCCCCCUUGUGGUCGGUGUACAGGUGGUGCAUGGCU
This 515-nucleotide ribosomal RNA is filed under the name Streptomyces sp. Its description in RNAcentral is "bacterial SSU rRNA". It matches the Rfam family "Bacterial small subunit ribosomal RNA", at positions 539 to 1050 of the family's 1533-position model. The record is from RNAcentral. Lineage: Bacteria; Bacillati; Actinomycetota; Actinomycetes; Kitasatosporales; Streptomycetaceae.